GAUAGGAAGAAACAUGAAGCGAUGAAACAUACUGAACAAUUCCAUGUUUAUGGAAAAAAAUUCUGGUAAUGAACUUACUUCACACCAAAGAGCCAAACAGGAGUAGCAUCAUUACCUCAACCAAUAUUGCCAGAGAAAAUCUUGACACAGAGAAGGUAAGCUCAGUGCUUAAUGUGAAAAUUUAUCUGCACGUACAGAACCAGUCCAUAAUACAGGUAGGUGUAUUCAGAGGAGGGCUGGGGGAUACAAAUGGUACACCAUCAAAAUUUGCUGUGAUCUUUUGAGAAGUGUCUGUUCAUGUCUUUUGCCCACUUUUUAGUGAGGUUAUUGGUUUUUUGCUUGUUGAAUUGUUUAAGUUUCUAAACAUAUAAAAAAAUGCUCAGCAUCACUAAUCAUCAGAGAAAUGCAAAUAAAAGCCAAAGUGAGAUAACAUCUCACACCACUGAGAAUGAUUAUUAUUAAAAAGUCAAAAAACAACAGGUGUGCUGGUGAGGCUACAGAGGAAAGGGAAUGCUUAUAUACUGUUAAUGGGAAUGUAAUUUAGUUUAGCACCUGUGGAAAUCAGUUUGGAGAUUUCUCAAAGAACAUAAAAGAGAAAUACCAUUCUACCCAGCAAUUCCAUUACUGGUUAUAUAUACAAAAGAAAAUAAAUUCUUAUCAAAAGGACACAUGUACUUGUGUGUUUAUCACAGCACUGUUCACCAUGGUGAAGACAUGGAAUCAACCAAGGUGAUUAUCAAAAGGGAAGAGGAAUGGAUUAAAAAAUAUAUGGUAGAUAUAGACCAUGGAAUCCUAUGCUGCCAUAAAAGAGAACAAAAUCAUGUCCUUUGAGGCAACAGCAUGGAUGCAGCUGGAAGCCGUUAUCCUAAGUGAAUUAACAGAGGAACAGUAAACCAAACACCACAUGGUCUUACUUAAAAGUGGGAGCUAAACAUUGGGUACUCAUGGACAUAAAGAUGCAUCAAUAGAUUACGAGGACUAACAGGAUUAAAAAACGGAUGCGUACUAUCUUCACCAUGUGGGACACAGGAUCAUUUUUACCCCAAACCUCAACAUCAUGCAAUAUACACAUGUAACAAGCCUGUACAUGUACCUCCUGAAUCUAUUAAAAAAUUGACUUUUUUUUUAAGAAUUUACUGCAAUCUUGGAAAAAUUCUUCUUCAAAGUCUUCUAAAAGCAUUUUAACUUUUUAUUUACAUUUGGAAAUUCAAGCCAUCUAAAAUGAAAUGUAACAUAUGGUCUGACAUAGGUGCCAACAUUAUUUUUAUAUACAUAUCCAGUUUAGGCGGCAUUAUUUAUUGAGAAGAUGAAGCUUCCUCUAUGGCCCUACAGUUUCUCCUUUGUCAUAGAUUAGGUUUCUCCAUUUUUGUGGGUUUGUUUGUAAACCCUGUAUUCUGUUCCACUGGUCUAUUUAUCAAUCCUUGUUUCAAUCCACACUGUUUAUAGCAAAGUGUUAUAAGAUGAUUUUUGGCUAUUAGUAUAAAAUUGCUGAUUUGUAAUUAUUGGAGACUGACUUUAUUAUUUCCUGCUUUGCAUUUCUACAUAUCUUUUAGAAUCAGCUUGUCAUUUCCCAUCCCUUUCAAAAAACACUACCAUUUUUAUUGGGAUUAUGUUGCAUCUAUAUAUAACAGAGAAUUGUCUUCUAAUUCAUAAAUAUAGUAUAUCCCAAUUUAUUUUAUCUGUUCUAAUAUCUCUUAACAAUGGUUUAUUUUCUACUUGAAGUUUCCACUUAGCCUUCAUUAGAUCCACACCAUUAUAAAUGAUAUCAUUAAAAACAAACAAAAAAUUUACUUUCUAAUUGUUUGUUGCUAGUAUAUGUAACUACAAUUUAUUUUUAUACUAGCUUCAUGUCCAGUUCAGUGAUCAUCUCAAUUAACUAAUUCCAAUAAUUUGAGGUAUAUUUUUUUGAAUUUUCUAUGAAAAAAAUCAUGUCUGCACAUAAGUUGAUUUUUAUUUCUGCAAUAUAAUUAUUUGGCUUAUUGCACUGGCUAGGCUUUGCCAGAUAGUUAUUAAUGGGUCAUAGGAGAUAUCCUUAUCUCAUUACAGAAGUCAUACAUCUUUCAUUAUUUCACCAUUAAAUCUGAUAAUUCUUUUCUUUUUAAAAUAAAUGCCUUGUUUCAGACUAAGAAAAUUCUAUUUUAUUUCUAGUUUUCUGUUAUUUAAUAUUACAAAUGGGACUUGAGAUGAUUAUUAUAAUUCUUUUUUUCAUUAAUUUAGAAAAUUGUAUUAAUUGAUCUAAAAAUUUUAAGCCACCCCUGAAGUCCUGAAAUAAAUUCAUUUUUUAAAUUUAUACAUUGUGUUUUUAUUAAUUGAUAAUUUUUCUUGAUAAUAUUUUGUUUAUCAUUGUACUUAAUCAUGAAAUAUAUUAUAUUUUUAGGAUGUUGGUGUCAAGGUUAUGCUGGACUCAAUAAAAAGAAUGUGGCAUAUUCUCAGUUUAUAAAAGUGGCUAUUUAGGACUGGUAUAAUUUAUUAUUUGUUUAAAGGUUUGCAUACGGAGUUUCUUCUGGAUAUGGAGUUUUAUCCAGAUAAUUAUUUUAAUUAGAUUCAAUUCUAAUAGGUUUCUAAAUUCAGUUCUAAUUAGGUUUUUUAUUUCUUCUAUCAGUUUUGAAAAUCUGUGUUUUUCUAAGAGUUUUAUUUAUUUUUUUCUAUUUAUUGGCAUAAAUUUGUUUAUAAUAUUCUGAUUUUUUUGAUUAUGUAUUCCCACAAUCACCCUGUGAAAUAAACUACCUUAAGAUUUACUGGCUUAAAACAAUAUAUACUGCUUUGUGUGGAUGGAUUUGAUUUUUUUGUUUUGUUUUGUUUUGUGGUCUAGUGAGCUACAUAAAUUCAUUAAUUUUAGUUUAAAUGUAGAUUUGUUUGGGAUUUUCUGUGUGAAGACAUCAUGUUAUGUGCAAAUAGUGAGAAUUUUGGUUCUGCCUUUUCACUAUUACAUGUUUACUUAUUUGUUUAUUUAAUUUGUUUUUAUUGGAAUUGCACUUUCUGCUUGGCAACAUGGCACAGUUCUUGUAGUCUGAGCUGGGCUUGAAGGGAUCACUUACACAGCAGCAGUCAAUUGUGUUAAGCUGAGCAGCUCUGCUUUUCUUGGCUGGGCCCUCUUACAUGUCUGGAGCCUCAGCUAUGCCUUUAUGGCUCAAAUGAUUUUGCUUCACAUGGUUUCUCAUCCAUUUGGACCAACUUGAGCUUGUUCGUAAGGAGAAAGUAGGGGCCUAACAGAAAGAGGGAGAGAGAUUAGAAGCAUGGAAGGCCUUUUGAGACCUUUGCUUAGAACUCACACAUCAACAUUUUACACCACAUUUUGUCGGUCAAGAAAACUACAAGACCUACUUCAAAGGAUGUGGAAGUAGAAUCAACCUCUCUAUAGGAGGACCUGCAAAGUCACAUUGUGAAAGAAAAGACAGAGGGAAAAAGCACAGAAGCCAUUUUUGCAGUCAAUCUACCAUACUCAUUUUCUUUUCACCAAUUUUAUUGAUGUAAUGUUUUUAUCCUUUUCAUUGUUACUAUUAACAUUUGGG
Molecule: long non-coding RNA, 3512 nt
Filed under: Pan troglodytes (chimpanzee)
Lineage: Eukaryota; Metazoa; Chordata; Mammalia; Primates; Hominidae
Description: lncRNA (ENSPTRG00000053536.1)
Source: RNAcentral